GUGGGGAAUAUUGGACAAUGGGCGCAAGCCUGAUCCAGCAAUGCCGCGUGUGUGAAGAAGGUCUUCGGAUCGUAAAGCACUUUCGACGGGGACGAUGAUGACGGUACCCGUAGAAGAAGCCCCGGCUAACUUCGUGCCAGCAGCCGCGGUAAUACGAAGGGGGCUAGCGUUGCUCGGAAUUACUGGGCGUAAAGGGCGCGUAGGCGGCUCUGUGAGUCAGGCGUGAAAUUCCUGGGCUUAACCUGGGGACUGAGCUUGAUACUGCAGGGCUUGAGGCCGAGAGAGGGUGGUGGAAUUCCCAGUGUAGAGGUGAAAUUCGUAGAUAUUGGGAAGAACACCGGUGGCGAAGGCGACCACCUGGCUCGGUACUGACGCUGAGGCGCGACAGCGUGGGGAGCAAACAGGAUUAGAAACCCUGGUAGUCC
This 425-nucleotide ribosomal RNA is filed under the name uncultured bacterium. RNAcentral describes it as "partial 16S ribosomal RNA". It matches the Rfam family "Bacterial small subunit ribosomal RNA", at positions 354 to 796 of the family's 1533-position model. The record is from RNAcentral.